Long non-coding RNA from Eucalyptus grandis, 5082 nucleotides. RefSeq lists it as uncharacterized. Lineage: Eukaryota; Viridiplantae; Streptophyta; Magnoliopsida; Myrtales; Myrtaceae. The transcript is spliced from 6 exons. The record is from RefSeq and is a predicted model, not a curated record.
GCCGCGCCUCUCUUGUCUCUCCCUUACGAUACGAUCACGAGUUCGUCCGCCGUCAAGUUCCACCACCGCGCGGCCGUCGGGACCCGCCGCGAUGACCGGCGAACACUGCGUGCCGCGACCACCCCACUCUCUCUCUCUCUCUCUCUCUCUCUCAUGUCUAGUCACCGGCAAGCACAUCUCCACGAUUCUAGGGCCCUCAAGAGCUUCGACGCUAAGGACGACGGCGAAUCACGACGGUCUCUUCCCCAUAUCUUCUGUCCGGAUCGGCCUCCACGAGCAUUGACGGCGGCGAUUCAUGCCUCCGGGCCCUCCAAAAGCUUGGACGCAGCGACGCGGUGGCGGUGCGGGACUCUCUCUCUCCCAGAUUGAAUCGGAUCGAACGUUGGACGACAAAAACAACGUGUCGAAGGAUUUGUGUUGGUGAUGAUUCAGGGUAUGAGUCUCAAACUAGAGUUCGUUUGGUGAAUUUUGGAUGUUAUGAGCUGAAAGAAUGGUGGGAUGGAUGGGAAUUUCUGACUGUGGUUGAUACUUGAUGUUGAUGACUGGUUGUCCUUGGGCUGAGCUGAGUUAUUAUUGUGCAAAUUUUACUUACUUCAAUUUGUUGUUUCAGAAACGGACUCAAACUCUUCAAAAUGAGAGCGUGCUAUGCCAACUUCUGCAAGCCGAGCGUCUCCUCCCCCACCAAGUGAUGUUAUUGAAGCUUCUCCUUCACCCAAGCCACCACUUCCUCCAUCAAGGCCUAGUGGAAGUAACGCUAUUAGCAGAAUCAGUCUAGUGUUAGGGCUCAUUGUCACUGUGGCCUGGCCCGUAUAGUGUGAAGAUAGCAUGAACUUGAAAUUCAUACUACUUUGGAGAUUAAUGUGACAUGAUGGGUUUAAUUGAUGAAUUUCAAAUGGUUAUCCCAGAUUUUUCUAUAGUUUGUGUAAUUUUUAGGAUCUUGAGAUCGACGAUCCAAUCCUUUGGACGGUUUCAUCGAUCUUAAGUAGGAUGCCAAUCCUAACAAACUUUCUCAUUCCGGUGGAAAAUCUUUAUUAAGAAGAUGGGAGGUGCCGGAGGAUGUUAAGAAGAGAAAAUUAGCCUUCUCCAAAGACGAACAUAGGAAUCCACAAAGAAAAACAGAGAAAACGUUUGGUGUGAGAUUGGUGGAAUUGAGACAGUGUUUCUAUGUUUGAACUUCAUUUGCUUGUUUUGAUGUUGAUAUGUAUCUAAUUGUGCAAAACUAUGUUAAAACUUCACAAAUUGGCCUCAGUUUGUUAAAUUUGUAGGUUCUUAUGAUCCUCAAUACAUUCCUCGAAGACCUGACAUUCAUCCUACAUAGGACUCCAAUUCUGACAGUUGUUUAAAAAUGCUGCGGUUAUUGGAAUAACUGAAAUGAAGUUAACGUUAAGAUAGAAAUAGUUAUUAUAAGGUAUGCAUUUCAUCUAUAUCAAAUAUAUCCCUGCACUUGUAUCCAAUGUUGGACACUCAUUCCCUGAGACCUGUUGUUUGUGAUUUGGAAACUUUGAAAACUCAGAAACUAUGACAAGUGACCCUCGUUUGGCACCCGUAUCAGAGAGGCUGUGCUUUGUAAUAAAAAUGUAGUGUUCUAAUGAUUGCCAGUGUGAAAUUUGUAAGCGGUCUGGUUUUGAGCGUCAAUAAUGAUAAGAUACUCUCUUAUGGACUGCACACAAAGGUAUAUUCUGUCAUUAGUAUUUAUUUAUCAUCUUAGUCAAACACCAGAAAGGAUACGAUAUCACAAUGUACCGUCUCACAUCUUGUGAUUGAGGAGAUGAGGUAGGGUAAGAGCGAUUCCUCAGAUUUCUUAUCCUUUCAUAAACUAUUCCAAAAUGCAGGUGAGCAGAUGUAGUCUCUCAAUGAUGGCCAUCCGUCAAGGCAAAAGAAUCUACUGGUCAAGAUAGAUCUUACUGUCUAAGGAUUGUCUCAGUGAAAUAAUCAGAGGACUGCCUAUUCCUUUCUUGACUAGUUUUCUUAAGUUUGCUUGAGAUGGGAGAACAAGAGGAAGAUUAAGUAGGCACACCACAUGCGAAGCAACAAGCUCCUCUUUGUCAUGAGUUUGAAAAGAACACAUCAGAAUACAAGUGCCCUGCAUGUUUUCUCCGCUCAUAUAUGCUUCCUUGUGUAAAUGCUCAUAAAUGCCGUACUGGCUGCACUGGCAAGAGGAGUCAGACUCAGUUCACAUUCCUCUCUCUCAAUUUAAUGACAAUGUUCUCCUUUCUGGUAGACUCUAUCUCUCUCUCUCUCUCUCUCCGUGUCAUGUCUAAAUUAUAGCUCUGUUGCUGUCUUGCAAGUAUGAUUAUUUAGGCAUAGAUUUCUGCUGGUAAUUCCCUGCCUUAUCUGAAUGGUUUCUUUUCUUUAGAAAGUUAGCUUAAGCCUAAAGCUUACUUCUGUUUUCCUGUUCACUUUUUAAGAAAUCUCAUUUAUUCUGAGUUUUAUAUAUUCGUAAUUCUUUGAAAUUCAUGAUGAACAUAUACUAUAAUUUGCUUGAGGAAGUGAAGAGGGUCACUGAAUCUGCUCACAGAGGGAGAGCUAAAUUAAGGGUGUAUCCUUAUCUUAAGUUACCCUUUCACCUCGAAAAUCUCCGGCUUGCAGCUGCUAGCAGGAUGUCAAAAUUCUUGUCCCUUCCAAGUGGACUGUCGAACAGGGGCAGAAAUCAGUCUCGGCAUGAGAAUGGCAUGUGAGAUCAGAGUCUUGACCUUUGAGUGGAUUAUAUCCGCAAUGCUAUCGAUUUUGUAAAGACGAUAUGAGCUGAUUCUUGUGGUAGGCUUUCUUUGCACCAUAUAAAUGACAUGAAUACAUUUGAACUCGAGAAAAUUGGCUAUAUUUCAGAAAAAAAAAAAGGCCAUCCAGAAACCGAUGACUUGUGUAGAAAGAGGUUUGAUGUGGUUUUUGUUUUUGGUCAAUUGACGUGGGCUUAUAUGUAUUAAUAUUAGCUAAUUAUUUCAUUCCCGAUAUUUCACUUACUUAUAACAUGGCAAAAUUAAUUUUCUAGUCAUGUGCGUGUACUAAAAUGUAGAUGACUAUUGAAUGUGGUUGGUCAUAUUGUAAAUACGAUGGUUCUCAGCAGAUCUGAUGAUACAUAUAUUUUUAUGUAUGCACCGCACUCAUCUUAUAAUAUGUCUGGCAAGAAGGCAAAGGGUGCAAUUUGCAUAAUUUUUGGCUCAAAUAGUAGCUGCAUGAAUCAAAGCGACCCUAGAGUGGACCCUCCAUCACUUUACCCCUUUUGUUGAAAAUAGCCCAAUGAUAUGGAAUAUUCAUGUAGCGUGUGCUUUUGAGUCAUCAACCGAAUAUUAAUGUGUGGACAUUUGUUACGGCGCCGUAACAAAGUUGGAUGUGUGGGAAAAUUCUCUUGUUACGCGUGCUUAUAUCCCACCUUUUAGUCAUUCAUGUGAUCAUGUCCUGAGCCAGGUUAAGACAACAUUGUGAACAUCAUCCUGGCAAUUGCACUUGCAAACAGCUAAAGAAAAUGGCUCAAAGAAAAGAAAGGAUAGGGUAUCCCAAUGCAAGCCGACUCACAUCUUGUGAUUGACGAGAUGAGGUGGGGGGCUGAGAGAUUCCUUGGCCCGUUAUAAAAGGUUCUGAAAUGCAGGUGAGUAGAUCUAGUCUCUCAAUUAUGGCCAUUUGUCAAGGCCCAAGAAUCCACUGGUCAAGAUAACUCUUUAUCAAUCACACACCUCUAUUUCCCAUAUGAUCUAAUUCUUGCUUUCCAAGGAAUGUCUUAGUGAAAUAAUCGGAGGACCACCUAUUCCUCGACUAGGUUUUAUUGUUCUCUUUAAUUCAAAUCAUCAUACAUCACAUUGUCCAUUCUUCUUGCUAUCCCAUCAUCCUUAAGUAUUCCAAACACGAUUCUUUUCAGAUCUCUCAAAUUUGCUUGAGAUGGAAGAACACGAGUAAGAAAAUGUAAGCACAUGACAUGAGAAGUAACAAGAUCUUUUAUGUCGAGAGUUUGGAUAGAACCCAUCAUAAUACAAGUGUCUUGCAUGUUCUUUUCACUUGUGUAGCCUUCCGUGCAUAAAAUGCUCAUAAACACCAUACUAGUUGCAUUGGCAAGAGGAAUCAGAUUCACUUCAUUCCUCUCUCUCUCUACAAUGCAUGCGUGUGCAUGUUAAGAUUUUAGCUUUGUUGCUCGAAGAAUUAGCUUAAGCCUAAAGCUUACUUCUGCUCUCAUGUUCACUCUUUAAGAAAUCUUUCAUUCAUUCUUAAGUUUUAUAUAUUCAUAAUUUUUUGGAAUUCAUGAUGGACAUAGACUAUAAUUUGCUCGAGGAAGUGAUUAGGGUCAAUGACUCUGCUCACAGAAUGGAAGUUAAAUUAAAUUUGUAUCCUUAUUUCGACUUACCCUUUCACCUCCAAAGCCUUUGGCGUGCAGCUUCUAGCAGGAGAACAAAACUCUUUUUCCUUCUAAGUAGACUUUCGAAAAGGGGCGGAAAUCAGUCUCGAUAUGAGCAAAGUGGCCAUCCAUGAGGAUGAAUGCCAUGCAUGCUUGUUCAUGAUAUCGCUACGUGGAGGCCAUGCAAAGGGCGGCGGGACUAUAUGAGUGGAUCCGGGGCUCGCCGCCGUAUGCGUCGCGGAGCCAUUCGCCUAUGAAUACGAGCAGAUCGUCAUCCUCAACGACUGGUACAACAAAAGCACUAAUGACCAAGCCUUCUAUUGGGAUGGAGAGCCUGCGUCACUACAAAUUCAAGGGAAGGGAAAGUUCGACAGCUCCAAAUCGCCCCUCCAAUCUUGGAUACAACCGCUCAUAAGGUGACCGAUCCUGCAUAUAUGAAAUGGACAGUCAUCCCCGGAAAACAUAUCGCUUCACGAUUUCGAGUGUGGCCAUUCUAUAUGCUCUCAGCUUUCAAAUCGAGGAGAACUUCCAUCUCCAACAAAUUAUUCCUCUUGCUUUUUUUCUUCCUGGCUUUCUACAAUGAUUUCGAAGUUUAAAAAAGAAGACUCUUCACUAUUGUCAUUUCAUAUUGGAUUACACACGAUAUCAAGUAUUGGGGGAGAUGAUAUGCUUCGGGUUUUUCUGAAGGAGAAAGAGAACUCGACUUUUUUGAUUUACUAGUGAUGAUUUGGUGUGCCCAUUCUCUGACUCAGAUUAGA